CUUUCAGUUAGAUGUUUAUGUU
Molecule: microRNA, 22 nt
Filed under: Callorhinchus milii (elephant shark)
Lineage: Eukaryota; Metazoa; Chordata; Chondrichthyes; Chimaeriformes; Callorhinchidae
Also listed under: 1 other name
Description: Cmi-Mir-30-P1d3_3p* (star (passenger))
Source: RNAcentral